This 486-nucleotide ribosomal RNA is filed under the name uncultured bacterium. RNAcentral describes it as "partial 16S ribosomal RNA". It matches the Rfam family "Bacterial small subunit ribosomal RNA", at positions 30 to 507 of the family's 1533-position model. The record is from RNAcentral.
AUUGAACGCUGGCGGCAUGCCUUACACAUGCAAGUCGAACGGCAGCACGGGUGCUUGCCCCUGGUGGCGAGUGGCGAACGGGUGAGUAAUACAUCGGAACAUGUCCUGUAGUGGGGGAUAGCCCGGCGAAAGCCGGAUUAAUACCGCAUACGAUCCACGGAUGAAAGCGGGGGCCCUUCGGGCCUCGCGCUAUAGGGUUGGCCGAUGGCUGAUUAGCUAGUUGGUGGGGUAAAGGCCUACCAAGGCGACGAUCAGUAGCUGGUCUGAGAGGACGACCAGCCACACUGGGACUGAGACACGGCCCAGACUCCUACGGGAGGCAGCAGUGGGGAAUUUUGGACAAUGGGCGAAAGCCUGAUCCAGCAAUGCCGCGUGUGUGAAGAAGGCCUUCGGGUUGUAAAGCACUUUUGUCCGGAAAGAAAUCCUUGGCUCUAAUACAGUCGGGGGAUGACGGUACCGGAAGAAUAAGCACCGGCUAACUACGUG